Molecule: ribosomal RNA, 1466 nt
Filed under: metagenome
Description: bacterial SSU rRNA
Rfam family: Bacterial small subunit ribosomal RNA
Source: RNAcentral
AGAGUUUGAUUCUGGCUCAGAGCGAACGCUGGCGGUAUGCUUAAUACAUGCAAGUCGAACGAAGUGAUCAAUGUAGUAAUACAUUGAGAGCUUAGUGGCGAACGGGUGAGUAAUGCACAGGAAUUUGCCUAGUAGUGGGGAAUAACGGUUGGAAACGACCGCUAAUACCGCAUAAUCCCGAGAGGGGAAAGGAGCAAUUCGCUAUUAGAGAAGCCUGUGUCUGAUUAGCUAGUUGGUGGGGUAAAGGCCUACCAAGGCGAAGAUCAGUAGCUGGUCUGAGAGGAUGAUCGGCCACAUUGGGACUGAGACACGGCCCAAACUCCUACGGGAGGCAGCAGUAGGGAAUAUUGGACAAUGGGCGAAAGCCUGACCCAGCAAUACCGCGUGGAUGAUGAAGGCGUUAUGCGUUGUAAAAUCCUUUUGUCAGGGAAGAUAAUGACGGUACCUGAAGAAUAAGCACCGACUAACUAUGUGCCAGCAGUCGCGGUAAUACAUAGGGUGCUAGCGUUGCUCGGAAUUACUGGGCGUAAAGCAUGUGUAGGAGGAUCUAUAAGUCAAAAGUGUAAUUCCUAGGCUCAACCUAGGCGCUGCUUUUGAUACUGUAGAUCUAGAGUGAGGUAGAGGAUAGCGGAAUUCUUAGUGUAGGGGUUAAAUCCGUAAAUAUUAAGAGGAGCACCGAAAGCGAAGGCAGCUAUCUGGGCCUUAACUGACUCUGAGACAUGAAAGCGUGGGGAGCAAACAGGAUUAGAUACCCUGGUAGUCCACGCCGUAAACGAUGAGUGCUAAGUGUUUGGGUUUUUACUUGAGCGCUACAGCUAACGCGUGAAGCACUCCGCCUGGGGAUUACGGUCGCAAGACUAAAACUCAAACGAAAUUGACGGGGGCCCGCACAAGCGGUGGAGCAUGUGGUUUAAUUCGACACUAACCGAAGAACCUUACCAGUUCUUGACAUGCUAUUUUUAAGUCCGACCAGAGAUGGCGGAUGUGGGCAACCUAGAUAGUACAGGUGAUGCAUGGCUGUCGUCAGCUCGUGCCGUGAGGUGUUAGGUUAAGUCCUUUAACGAGCGCAACCCCUUUCUUUAUUUGCCAGCGAGUCAAGUCGGGAACUAUAAAGAUACUGCCUAUGUUAAAUAGGAGGAAGGUGGGGAUGAUGUCAAGUCAUCACGUCCCUUAUGAACUGGGCUACACACGUGCUACAAUGGCGUUUACAACGAGUCGCAAUACCGCGAGGUGGAGCUAAUCUUUAAAAAACGCCUCAGUUCAGAUUGCAGUCUGCAACUCGACUGCAUGAAGUCGGAAUCGCUAGUAAUCGUGAAUCAGAAUGUCGCGGUGAAUACGUUCCCGGGCCUUGUACACACUGCCCGUCAAGCCAUGGGAGUUGAAUUUACCUUAACACGUUGAGCUAACCGCAAGGAGGCAGAUGUCAACGGUAGAUUUAGUGACUGGGGUUAAGUCGGAACAAGGUA